AAACAAGAAGAAUGGGAUUGAUAUUUCCGCAGGAAGUUUGGAAGUUAUGUAACAAAGAGCAGGUUGAGAUCCUACCUUUUACGAGCAGCCUGCCCCUUUUGAAGGGGUAAAGGGAAUGGGUGCAGUGCCCUCUCUCCUUCUGUUGUAGUGGCUUAUCCCUCUAAGGCAUGACCCUUGGAUAGGGGUUACCUGCCUCGAAAAGUCCCCACUUCCUUGUGGGAGUUUAAAAUAGAUUGGCAUAUGUGAGAGAUGGAGACAAGGUGGGAAAUCGGAUCCUGUCUUAGGAUUUCUCAUCAGGAGAUGCUGGUACUUGGUGUUUCAGCUUGAUAAAUUGAGAAGGUGCCGUGAAACCAGGUCCUGGAACAGAAUCUCUGGUUGCUCUGUCUUUUAGCUGCUCUGACCCUCUGCCCUGCAGAGCAUGCAUUUUGCAUGUGCCUGGCAGGAGGCCCUCCUGCUUCAGCCCUGCUGUGUUUGUCUGUGUUGACAACAUGACUGCUCAGCCACUAAAUUUGGUCACUCCACAGACACACUAGGAAAGCAGAGGCAGCUCAUGGUUUCUCUGGAACAGAGCUGCAAGAAGUCUCUGGGCAUCUGCAUGGCCAGGAGCUUAUGCUUAACUGUUGAGUGACCUGCAGCCAUAAGGGCAUUAAUUCUGCCUUCCAGAGGUGGGAAUGACUUGGCUUUAAACAGUGAUUUGUGUUAGAAUUCUUCAAAUCCCAUUAGGUAGAAGCAUGGUGGAGUAGAGGAGAAAUCUUAGCUCAUAUCUGCUUCUUCCAUUGACCAGCUGUGUGACCUUGGGCCUGUUACUUUUAACCUACCUGACCCUCCAUUUCCUCAUUUAUCAGAAGUGUCUAACUGUACACAAGUUAAACUGUAAGGAUUACAUGAGGUAGUAGUCAAUCCUGGUGUUUCUCUGUAUCUUCUCACCUCUUACUGUGUUGGAAAUAUGAUCUUGCGACCCUGGAUGGCAGCCACUCUGGGGCAGGAGAGACAGUCACCACCUUCUGAAGGGCUCAAAGGAGAAUAUUGCCCCACAGGGCUUAGUGGGUACCCCAGGCUGAGGCUGGGGAGGAGGGCCACUUUUGCCUACAGCAAGUGGCAUAUCAUUGUUCUAGGGGUUCUCUUGAUGGCCGAACUUUGCCUCUAGCUCAUUUUCCACAGCCUAGAUUUUCCAAUCUUGCCAAUCCAGUUGACUUCUGUCUUCUCAUUUCCAAGCCAUUGUUCUCUCUCUUUCACUAUCUACAUGGAUUAUCCUUCAUUCAAACUGCUUUGUCCUGGCUGGGCGCGGUGGCUCACGCCUGUAAUCCUAGCACUUUGGGAAGCCAAGGCGGGUGGAUCACGAGGUCAGGAGAUCGAGACCAUCGUGGCUAACAUGGUGAAACCCCAUCUCUACUAAAAUUACAAAAAAUUAGCCGGGCAUGGUGGCAGGCGCCUGUAGUCCCAGCUAUUUGGGAGGCUGAGGCAGGAGAAUGGCAUGAACCCGGGAGGUGGAGCUUGCAGUGGGCGGAGAUCGCGCCACUGCACUCCAGCCUGGGCGACAGAGCAAGACUCUGAGACUCAGUCUGAAAAAAACAAACAAACAAACAAACAAAAAACUGCUUUGUCCUGUAGGAAGCCUGUGCAGGUUAUGUGCACCUCCCUCAAUCCUUACCUUGAAGCUGAGGUUUCCCCUCAGCUCUCAAGUACUCAGUUUGCACUGCAGGUAGUCCCUAUUUUAAUGAAAGUUAUACGGUCCAGCUCAGGGAAUCCUGAAAAGCUGCCCUUGCUUCCAUGGUAACCAAAAGGCAGUUCUCAUGGAAUAAAAGCUACCUGAAGCCUGAGUUGGGACCUUUGGUUGGGGAAGGACGCUGAUUAGACGCUUGGCAUGAGGUUUGCUACUGGAACUGCUAGUGUAGAAUGUUUCAGCCCCCCUAGAGUUGUCCCUGUGAUGUGGCUACCUCCUUUCUCUGGGAUUUCUCUUAAAGUCUGGGGAGCCCCUGCUUCUCAUUUCCUGGAAUUUAUCUUCCCAGUCUCCCUUUCUGGCUGAAAAUUUCUAGUAUCUUACAGAACAGUAGUGGAAUACACUGGAGCACAUCAUAUUACCACUAAGUAUGUCUAAUAAAUGAUGUCCUCUGAUUUGACAUUUCCUAAAUGUGAAGCUCCUGAUUUUAUACAAUUUUGAAAUUAGUAAGCUUGUUAGUUUUGUUUGAAAUUCUAGGCAUUGGAUACACUUAAUAUGAGGGCUACAUGUGCAUCAACAUACUCUGGUUUCCUUCCCUCUGUAUCUUUUUUUUUUUUUGAGAUGGAGUCUCACUGUCUUCUAGGCUGGAGUGCAGUGGUGUGAUCAUGGCUCACUGCAGCCCCAACCUCCUGGGCUCAGGUGAUCCUCCCACCUCAGCCACCCAAGUAGCUGGGACCACAGGUGCAUGCCACCAUGCCCAGCUAACUUAUUUUUAUAUAUUGUAGAGACGGAGUCUCCCUGUGUUGCCUAGGCUGACCUUGAACUCUUGGGCUCAGGUGAUCCUCCCACCUUGGCCUUCCAAAGUGUUGGGAUUAUAGGCGUGAGCCACCGUGUCCAGCCUUUUCCUCUGUAUCUUGUGUCCAUUCCCCAGAGCGAUACUGUGUAUCCUUGAACAGACGGUUUCUUGAAGUCAGAGUCUAUCUCCUCUGUCACUUCUCCCCCUUCAUUAUCUAAGACUGAGGUUGUAGUUUAUAUGCUUAGAGUUGAAAGCAUGGGGUCCAACGUGUUCUGUACUCUGUAGUUCCCCAAACUCUCCAGGGAAACUACUUAGCUCUCAGGUGGUUCUUUUCUGUUUUUCUCAGAGUGAGUUAUCUAAUAACUGAAGAGGACUCUGCCCUUUGGCCUGUUCCUGACCUUCUAACUCCUUUUGCUGGAGGAAGGGGAGGUUGGGGGGGAGGGGUGCCCUGUGGUGUGAAAGCCCCACUUGUCCUCUCCUCUGUACUUUCUUCCAAUGCAGACAGGAGAAAGUAUCAUAUAAAUGUAGUGACUGUGGGUCAGAGGAGCUCUGAGAGGCCAGCACAGGAAACCAGAAACAAAAUGAGUCAGUUGGUAGGUGGCAGUCAGAGGCACCCUGCUGAGGGUGCAAGGUCAAAGGUGAUGCCCCCUCAGUAGGCCCAGGAGCAUCAAAACGGGAACAGUCCCUUUGAGCUUUCAGGAGCCUCCCAAAUGUCACUUAGUGACGUCCCAUUCACCUGCUUAAAGGCCCUGCAUCCUGCCAGGUAGUUGGUUUGUCCAUAGCAACCUGAGCUCUGCUUGGGUGAGCCAGACAAAAAGAAUGAUCCCUGGCCAAAGUAGUGAUACCAGGGCCCAGACAGAGGCAGAGAGUCCGGAUAGAAGAUCCUGUAAGCUGGGGUAGGGAGCUGAGGAGGCCAUGGAGCCAGGGGAAUCAUUGAAGUGAGGGACAAUUUCUGGAGGAGGGAAACUGAGUAAGAAAGGCCUGGCCAAGGACCGAGAAGGGGACAGUAUCCUGAUCUAUGAAAGAAGACUUAAGUGGGGAUUGACAGAGCCAGAUUGGGUGGAGUCCAAGCUUUGGGCAGGUGAGUGUCCAGGAGAUGAGGGCUGAGAAUGGGCCUUCAGAGCUCAGCCAGAAGGGGAAAGCAAAAAGCUCCACCCUCCUUCACAUCCCUCCAUGCUGCUCAAAUCCCAGGUCUUCAGGCACCAUGGAGGACAAACGCAACAUCCAGAUCAUCGAGUGGGAACACCUGGACAAGAAGAAGUUCUACGUGUUUGGUGUGGCAAUGACAAUGAUGAUCCGUGUCAGCGUCUACCCAUUCACCCUCAUCCGCACCCGGUUGCAAGUUCAGAAGGGGAAGAGCCUCUACCAUGGGACCUUCGAUGCCUUCAUCAAGAUCCUGCGAGCAGAUGGUAUCACUGGCCUUUACCGAGGGUUCCUGGUCAAUACCUUCACCCUCAUCUCUGGCCAGUGUUAUGUCACCACUUAUGAGCUCACCCGGAAGUUUGUAGCUGACUACAGCCAGAGUAACACAGUCAAAUCACUGGUGGCUGGUGGCUCAGCCUCCCUUGUGGCCCAGAGCAUCACAGUGCCCAUUGAUGUAGUCUCCCAGCACCUGAUGAUGCAACGCAAGGGUGAGAAAAUGGGCCGCUUUCAGGUGCGGGGGAACCCAGAGGGACAAGGGGUAGUUGCCUUUGGCCAAACCAAGGACAUCAUCAGGCAGAUCCUGCGGGCUGAUGGACUUCGCGGCUUCUAUCGAGGCUAUGUGGCUUCACUGCUUACCUAUAUCCCAAACAGUGCUGUCUGGUGGCCCUUCUAUCACUUCUAUGCAGAGCAGCUCUCCUACCUGUGUCCUAAGGAGUGCCCUCACAUUGUCUUUCAAGCUGUCUCGGGACCCCUGGCUGCAGCCACUGCCUCCAUCCUCACCAAUCCCAUGGAUGUCAUACGAACCCGCGUGCAGGUUGAGGGCAAGAACUCCAUCAUCCUGACCUUCAGACAGCUGAUGGCAGAAGAAGGGCCUUGGGGCCUCAUGAAGGGCCUCUCAGCCAGAAUCAUCUCAGCCACACCUUCCACCAUUGUCAUUGUGGUGGGCUAUGAGAGCCUCAAGAAACUCAGCCUCCGACCUGAGCUGGUGGACUCGAGACACUGGUAACCAGUGGUGGGGAGAGAAGCCUGCUGUUUUCCAUACUACCGUGGGUCAGGGGCAGAGUGGAGAGGACAGCACCCUCUCCAGAUGCCCCCACCACACACCCAGCCCUGCCCUGGGCCAGGUGGCCUAUCUGGGAUAGGGAUAGAGAGACUUUGAACUGCUCUUGCUGAAGAGGCUCCACGCCUGGAUCCCUUGCCUCCACUAUUUAAACUUCUCUUCUGAGCUGGGCUCCCUCACUCAGUCCCUGUAUUCGAUACUGGCCUAAAGACCCCACCCCCAACCCUGCCAGCCCUUCUUCUGGCUUCCCCUUCCAUCUGUGUCCCUGAGACCCUGAGAAGAGCUGUACAUAGAGCUUGCUUACUACCACGGGUUCUUCCUCUUGGGCUUUCAGCCCAGACUCCAAGCAGCUGCUAUCAACCCUCUCUCCCUUCAUCUCUUAGCCUUGCUUAUUUUUAUUUUGGGACCGAGCUGCCCACUAGAUGACUCUGCUUUUCCCUGCAUUUGGGGCUAAGGUGCCAGGUACUUAUUUGCACAGGGAGCAGGAGCAGCAAAAAAUCUCUGGUUCUCCAGAGCACUCGUCCUCUCUUUGGAGGGGUUAUUAGGUUGGGGAGAAAUGUUGAUACUUUUGUUUUGUGUGUGUGUGUGUGUGUGUGUGUGUGUUAACAUCUGUGAACCAGGCUAUUAGUCCUGCUAAAGCGCCAAUCCUGCUGUCAGAGCUCACCCCCUUCCUAAGACAGGUAGAAAAAUGUAAUGUAGCUUUUUCCACAAUCCAGUUCCCUGUCCCUUCAGUCUCAGGAGCCCUAGGAGAGUCUAAGCUGGGGCAUCCCCUGGCCCAGAGGACUCCCGUACUGGGCAGUUCUAAGUGGAUCAGGCUGUCUUGGGUGCACUGGACUUAGAGCACUACCUUGAGAAAUCAGGUUGAGAAAGUAGUUGAUCUAGAAGGCAACAAGUGGGCAUGUGUUCCCCAGCACAUUACCCAGGCCAGCAGAGCCAAACCUAGAAGAGGGCAGUGGGGAGAUUCUCUGCCCCAGGCAGCCAUGACAUAGACAUAAAUACCCCAAUCACUCACUUACGGCAACAAGUGUUGUCUCACUAUGGUGAUCUCUAAGAUCCACAUCACUGGAUGCGUGGUCGUCCCAGUCAUGGUACCCUGUGGAGGGAUGCUGGAAGAACACAAAGAGCAGUUCAAAAAGUCACCCAAUACCAGGACCACUGCAUUUACCAGCCUGAUACUGCCAAGAUUAUCUGAUGCUCUCCUCAGGAGCUAGGAGAGGAGUGCUCCUUCUUCCCUGCCUCAUUCUCCCUACCGCUACUCUCCCCAAGCCUGUGUUGCAGGUAGAGAGGUGCAGCAAAUAGAGAAGGCAUGUCAAACCCUGCAUUUCUACCUGAGACGUGUGACCUGGAUGAUCCUCCAAACCCUAUUGGUCCCACCCCCUGGGAAAGGCCAUGGUGCCAAUUUGAAAGGUGCUAGCUACCUGAAGCCUUGAUAUUUCUUCAUGGCUGCCGCACAUUCUUCCACCUUGGCCAGAACAGGUUCUGAAAACCGCUUCUCUACCUUCACCACCACCACUGCCCAUCUUGAUCUCUUUGAGGGUUUUCCCAUUUCACUUGAUUUUAUUUUUGUUUAUCCCUUCCUGCACUUUGUCAAGAGAGUCCUCCAGGUUCUAUCCAGGAAUGUUCACAUCCAAAGGGUUGGACCCACCGAUCAUUCUGAAUCUUCCUGCCCCUCCUCACUGCUUUACCCUGAGAGCCACAAAUAUAAUGGAAGCAGUUCCCCCCACCCUCACCCCAUCUCUUUAAGCUCAUCCUAGCAAGACCUCUAGAGACUCAACUUUAGUCCUUCCCCGCCAUUGCACAGUGGGGAAGGUGUCAGUGGGGAAAGUGUCACGGACAGGAUGUAGGAUCCUGCCGCUCGCGUCUUAGUGUUUCUCCCCCAAGACUUUCCUUCUGUUUUGUUGUCUUGUGCAGUGUUUUACAGCCCCUCUUGUGUUUUUCUUUAUUUCUCGUACACACACGCAGUUUUAAGGGUGAUGUGUGUAUAAUUAAAGGGACCCUUGGCCCAUACUUUCCUAAUUCUUUAGGGACUGGGAUUGGGUUUGACUGAAAUAUGUUUUGGUGGGGAUGGGAUGGUGGACUUCCAUUCUCCCUAAACUGGAGUUUUGGUCGGUAACCAAAACUAAAAGAAACCUCUGGGAGACUGGAAACCUGAUUGGAGCAUUGAGGAACAAGGGAAAUGAAAAGGCAGACUCUCUGAACGUUUGUUGAAAUGGAUUCUUGUGAAUAUUAACAGUGAAUAUUCACUGUUGCACUGUACGAAGUCUCUGAAAUGUAAUUAAAAGUUUUUAUUGAGCCCCCG
RNAcentral lists this small RNA (6958 nucleotides) under Pongo abelii (Sumatran orangutan). Its description in RNAcentral is "processed transcript". Lineage: Eukaryota; Metazoa; Chordata; Mammalia; Primates; Hominidae. The record is from RNAcentral.